GGCUGCAAGACCCUCCAGGCUGACAAUGGCCCAGAUUCCAUGAAUGUUGUAUGAGCUGCAGAGCUAGCUACGCUGUCUGUCCUUGAGCAAGAUUUAUGAUCUCGUGCAGCAUGGGUUACUGCCAGUUCAUGGCUUGUACAUUCUGGCAGUUCUGAGCUGGCUCACUCUAGAAGGAAGAAACAGUUUGACAUGAAAAAAAUUUACCUGAUCUGAGCACCUGCUUAUGUCUGCUUGUUUGUGCACACACCAGAAGACUCGAUCACAGCAGACUGGAGAGAGAUUCACCUGGUGGCUUUGAGCAAGGACAUGAAGGUGGUCUUAAGUUGAUGAGAACAACCCCCAGCUGACAGCCAGCAAGAAAACAGACCUACAGCCACAAGGAGCUGACCUCUUCCAGUAACCAGAGUGCAGGUUUGAAAUGGUUUUUCCCCAGGAGCCUGCAGACAAGAAUUCAGACUGGCUGACACCUUGAUUUCAGCCUGUUGAGACCCUUAGCAGAAGACCCAGUGAAGCCAUACCCAGACCUUUGACCCACAG
This 537-nucleotide long non-coding RNA is filed under the name Mustela putorius furo (domestic ferret). Its description in RNAcentral is "lncRNA (ENSMPUG00000025792.1)". The record is from RNAcentral. Lineage: Eukaryota; Metazoa; Chordata; Mammalia; Carnivora; Mustelidae.